RNAcentral lists this ribosomal RNA (292 nucleotides) under uncultured bacterium. Its description in RNAcentral is "partial 16S ribosomal RNA". It matches the Rfam family "Bacterial small subunit ribosomal RNA", at positions 505 to 796 of the family's 1533-position model. The record is from RNAcentral.
GUGUCAGCAGCCGCGGUAAUACAGAGGUGGCAAGCGUUGUUCGGAAUUACUGGGCGUAAAGGGCGCGUAGGCGGCCCGUCAAGUCCCGUGUGAAAGCCCCCGGCUCAACCGGGGAACUGCACGGGAAACUAGCAGGCUUGAGUUCGGGAGAGGGAAGCGGAAUUUCGGGUGUAGCGGUGAAAUGCGCAGAUAUCCGAAGGAACACCGGUGGCGAAGGCGGCUUCCUGGACCGACACUGACGCUGAGGCGCGAAAGCUAGGGGAGCAAACGGGAUUAGAUACCCCCGUAGUCC